This 465-nucleotide ribosomal RNA is filed under the name uncultured bacterium. RNAcentral describes it as "SSU rRNA". It matches the Rfam family "Bacterial small subunit ribosomal RNA", at positions 26 to 518 of the family's 1533-position model. The record is from RNAcentral.
AGAACGAACGCUGGCGGCAUGCCUAACACAUGCAAGUCGGACGCUUUCGGGGGUUUCGGCCUCCGAGGGAGUGGCGGACGGGUGAGUAGCGCGUGGGAACCUGCCCCUUUGUGGGGGAUAACCGAGGGAAACUUCGGCUAAUACCGCAUACGCCCGGGGGAAACUCCGGGGAAAGAUUUAUCGCAGCAGGAGGGGCCCGCGUCGGAUUAGGUAGUUGGUGGGGUAACGGCCCACCAAGCCUGUGAUCCGUAGCUGGUCUGAGAGGAUGAUCAGCCACACUGGGACUGAGACACGGCCCAGACUCCUACGGGAGGCAGCAGUGGGGAAUAUUGGACAAUGGGCGCAAGCCUGAUCCAGCAAUGCCGCGUGAGUGAUGAAGGCCUUCGGGUUGUAAAGCUCUUUCGCACGCGACGAUGAUGACGGUAGCGUGAGAAGAGCCCCGGCUAACUUCGUGCCAGCAGCCGC